This 253-nucleotide ribosomal RNA is filed under the name uncultured bacterium. RNAcentral describes it as "partial 16S ribosomal RNA". It matches the Rfam family "Bacterial small subunit ribosomal RNA", at positions 524 to 776 of the family's 1533-position model. The record is from RNAcentral.
GACGAACCGAGCGAACGUCGUUCGGAAUCGCUGGGCUUAAAGGGCGCGUAGGCGGGUGCUCAAGUCCGUGGUGAAAUCCUCCGGCUCAACCGGAGACCUGCCUCGGAUACUGGGUGCCUCGAGGGUGGUAGGGGUAUGCGGAACUAUCGGAGGAGCGGUGAAAUGCGUUGAUAUCGGUAGGAACUCCGGUGGCGAAGGCGGCAUACUGGACCACCUCUGACGCUGAGGCGCGAAAGCCAGGGGAGCAAACGGG